GAUGAACGCUGGCGGCGUGCCUAAUACAUGCAAGUCGAGCGAACGGACGAGAAGCUUGCUUCUCUGAUGUUAGCGGCGGACGGGUGAGUAACACGUGGAUAACCUACCUAUAAGACUGGGAUAACUUCGGGAAACCGUAGCUAAUACCGGAUAAUAUUUUGAACCGCAUGGUUCAAAAGUGAAAGACGGUCUUGCUGUCACUUAUAGAUGGAUCCGCGCUGCAUUAGCUAGUUGGUAAGGUAACGGCUUACCAAGGCAACGAUGCAUAGCCGACCUGAGAGGGUGAUCGGCCACACGGGAACUUAGACACGGUCCUGACGCCUACGGUAGGCAGCAGUAGGGAAUCGUCCGCAAUGGGCGAAAGCCUGACGGAGCAACGCCGCGUGAGUUAUGAAGGUCUUCGGAUCGUAAAACUCUGUUAUUAGGGAAGAACAUAUGUGUAAGUAACUGUGCACAGCUUGACGGUACCUAAUCAGAAAGCCACGGCUAACUACGUG
RNAcentral lists this ribosomal RNA (497 nucleotides) under uncultured bacterium. Its description in RNAcentral is "partial 16S ribosomal RNA". It matches the Rfam family "Bacterial small subunit ribosomal RNA", at positions 28 to 507 of the family's 1533-position model. The record is from RNAcentral.